GGUGAUAUGGAAUACCGAGAACAACUGCAUUUCUACUAUUUUUUUGCGGUUAUUUUUAUCUACUUCAUGUUCAAGCUUGUGAACUGUUUUAGACAAAUUUUGUUGAGAAUUUUUCAUUUUAUCAAUUUCAUGCUUCAAGCAUCCAUUCUCUUCUUUCAGUUCUUGAAAGUCGGUUACUAUUUCAUCAAACUUUGACGACAGGAAAUCUUGUGACUUUUCUAUGGCAGCAGUGAUUUGUUUCAUUUCGCUUCUGAAGUCUUGCAUUUCCUGGGAUACUGCAUUGGCAACAGCACCCCUUAGCUCAACUGCAAGUGAUCCCACAAUCGAAGCUUUGUUGUCCUGCAUCUCAAUGAUCCGUUGAUAGAUACUCGAACAGUUAUGAGAGCAAAAAUACAUUUUCUCCUUGAUGCGUCGCGCAGAGUUCGCGGUUAUGUUGCGGCACUUGAGAUGUGCAUCAGUGAAACAGUACAUACAAGUCAAGAGUUUACUACGGUCCUUCUGGUCUUCUGAUCAAAAUGAAAAGCUAGUAAACAGCACAACUUUGCCUAUGUAGGCUCUUCGUGUCAACUUUGUUUAAAAUAAAUUAUUAGUUGCGAAUAACAAGCUGAGAUAGAUAGUCUAUAUGUCUAUAUGUCGGGAAGGUAAACAGACAGUUGGGUGAGAAUGCAACACACUAUUAAAGAUCUAUAAAUACUACAAUUGGAAUUGACAUGAUAUUCUAGCGAAUUGAAAUAACAGAUACAAAUAGAGACGCAUCCAAAAACAGGCCUUUUGACUAUGUAUAUGUAUAAAGUUUACCACAGGUAAGUCAGCAAACUGAUACUGCAAGAGAUUUCUGAUUCCACAGUUACUCAUAAACUGAACGUGGAAGUAUGUUUUCCAGCCUACCAGAUUGAACCAAUCAACCACAGACCAGAUAUUUGUUCGUCAAGUAACCGUUUGGGCGGCAAAGGGUAUCACAAUAUCAAGUCUUUAUUGUAGGAGCGAGACCAUUAUGCGAAUCGAUCAGAGUUCCAUCAAAUGCUAAGCGCUUGUCAAGUAACCGUUUGGGCGGCAGAGGAUAGCACGAAAAGCUUUCGAAAGAGACUGCAACGUCACAAAUAUUCCAUCACCCCAAUACAACAGUAGCAGCAAGAUAACGCAGCAGCAACAACAACAACCACAGGCUAAUUCUCAGCCUGAUAAUAGGUCAAACAAUAACCCCUUCUGGUAACGUUGAGCUAUGUGAAAAAUGAUUUUUUGUACGUUUAUUCUAUCACAAUAUCACAAAUAACAUCACUCGGUCUACAAAUAGCGUUAUCACUACCAAUUACAUUACUUGUAAUGAAAUAAGCUUGCAAAUAAAU
Molecule: long non-coding RNA, 1346 nt
Organism: Wyeomyia smithii (pitcher-plant mosquito)
Lineage: Eukaryota; Metazoa; Arthropoda; Insecta; Diptera; Culicidae
Exons: 3
Source: RefSeq, a predicted model, not a curated record